CCCUUAGAUGUCCUGGGCUGCACGCGCGCUACACUGAAAGAAUCAGCUGGUAAGUUGCUCCUGGCUUGGAAACGUCGGGCAACCCGUUGAACCUCCUUCGUGCUUGGGAUUGGGGCUUGCAAUUAUUCCCCAUGAACGAGGAAUUCCCAGUAGGCGCGAGUCAUCAGCUCGCGUCGAUUACGUCCCUGCCCUUUGUACACACCGCCCGUCGCUACUACCGAUUGAAUGGCUUAGUGAGCCUUUGGGAUUGGCAGCCAACACCGGCAACGGUAGCUGGCCGCCGAAAACUUAUGCAAACUUGGUCAUUUAGAGGAAGUAAAAGUCGUAACA
This 330-nucleotide ribosomal RNA is filed under the name uncultured eukaryote. RNAcentral's name for it is "partial 18S ribosomal RNA". It matches the Rfam family "Eukaryotic small subunit ribosomal RNA", at positions 1470 to 1796 of the family's 1831-position model. The record is from RNAcentral.